GCAGUAGCCGCGGUAAUACGUAGGUGGCAAGCGUUGUCCGGAAUUAUUGGGCGUAAAGGGCUCGCAGGCGGUUUCUUAAGUCUGAUGUGAAAGCCCCCGGCUCAACCGGGGAGGGUCAUUGGAAACUGGGAAACUUGAGUGCAGAAGAGGAGAGUGGAAUUCCACGUGUAGCGGUGAAAUGCGUAGAGAUGUGGAGGAACACCAGUGGCGAAGGCGACUCUCUGGUCUGUAACUGACGCUGAGGAGCGAAAGCGUGGGGAGCGAACAGGAUUAGAGACCCCAGUAGUCCCUGUCUCUUAUAC
RNAcentral lists this ribosomal RNA (302 nucleotides) under uncultured bacterium. Its description in RNAcentral is "partial 16S ribosomal RNA". It matches the Rfam family "Bacterial small subunit ribosomal RNA", at positions 508 to 807 of the family's 1533-position model. The record is from RNAcentral.